AAGUUACUCCCUCCGUCCCAAAAUUUUUGUCUUAGAUUUCUCUAGAUACAGAUAUAUCUAAUACUAAACCGUGACUUGAUACAUUCAUAUUUAGACAAAUCUAAGAGAAGAAUUUUGAGACGGAGGGAAAUAAUAU
Triticum aestivum (bread wheat) is the source of this 136-nucleotide non-coding RNA. Lineage: Eukaryota; Viridiplantae; Streptophyta; Magnoliopsida; Poales; Poaceae. The record is from Rfam.